GACGAACCGUGCGAACGUUAUUCGGAAUCACUGGGCUUAAAGCGCGUGUAGGCGGGACGGCACGUCGGUCGCUGAAAGCCCCCGGCUCAACCGGGGAACGGGCGCCGAUACGACCGGCCUGGAGGGACGUAGGGGGACCUGGAACUUCCGGUGGAGCGGUGAAAUGCGUUGAGAUCGGAAGGAACGCCCGUGGCGAAAGCGAGGUCCUGGACGUUUUCUGACGCUGAGGCGCGAAAGCUAGGGGAGCAAACAGG
This 254-nucleotide ribosomal RNA is filed under the name uncultured bacterium. RNAcentral's name for it is "partial 16S ribosomal RNA". It matches the Rfam family "Bacterial small subunit ribosomal RNA", at positions 524 to 776 of the family's 1533-position model. The record is from RNAcentral.